This 525-nucleotide ribosomal RNA is filed under the name uncultured bacterium. Its description in RNAcentral is "bacterial SSU rRNA". It matches the Rfam family "Bacterial small subunit ribosomal RNA", at positions 777 to 1300 of the family's 1533-position model. The record is from RNAcentral.
AAUAGAUACCCAGGUAGUCCAUGCCGUAAACGUUGGGAACUAGAUGUAGGGCCUGUUCCACGGGUUCUGUGUCGUAGCUAACGCAUUAAGUUCCCCGCCUGAGGAGUACGGCCGCAAGGCUAAAACUCAAAGGAAUUGACGGGGGCCCGGCACAAGCGGCGGAGCAUGCGGAUUAAUUCGAUGCAACGCGAAGAACCUUACCAAGGCUUGACAUAUAGAAGAACACUGCAGAGAUGCAGGACUCUUUGGACACUUCUAUACAGGUGGUGCAUGGUUGUCGUCAGCUCGUGUCGUGAGAUGUUCGGUUAAGUCCGGCAACGAGCGCAACCCUCGUCCUAUGUUGCCAGCGGUUCGGCCGGGAACUCAUGGGAUACUGCCGUGGUCAACACGGAGGAAGGUGGGGAUGACGUCAAAUCAUCAUGCCCCUUAUGUCUUGGGCUUCACGCAUGCUACAAUGGCCGGUACAAAGAGCUGCGAUACCGCGAGGUGGAGCGAAUCUCAAAAAGCCGGUCUCAGUUCGGAGUU